AUUGAACGCUGGCGGCAGGCCUAACACAUGCAAGUCGAGCGGAUGAAGGGAGCUUGCUCCUGGAUUCAGCGGCGGACGGGUGAGUAAUGCCUAGGAAUCUGCCUGGUAGUGGGGGAUAACGUCCGGAAACGGGCGCUAAUACCGCAUACGUCCUGAGGGAGAAAGUGGGGGAUCUUCGGACCUCACGCUAUCAGAUGAGCCUAGGUCGGAUUAGCUAGUUGGUGGGGUAAAGGCCUACCAAGGCGACGAUCCGUAACUGGUCUGAGAGGAUGAUCAGUCACACUGGAACUGAGACACGGUCCAGACUCCUACGGGAGGCAGCAGUGGGGAAUAUUGGACAAUGGGCGAAAGCCUGAUCCAGCCAUGCCGCGUGUGUGAAGAGGGUCUUCGGAUUGUAAAGCACUUUAAGUUGGAAGGAAGGGCAGUAAGUUAAUACCUUGCUGUUUUGACGUUACCAACAGAAUAAGCACCGGCUAACUUCGUG
RNAcentral lists this ribosomal RNA (484 nucleotides) under uncultured bacterium. RNAcentral's name for it is "partial 16S ribosomal RNA". It matches the Rfam family "Bacterial small subunit ribosomal RNA", at positions 30 to 507 of the family's 1533-position model. The record is from RNAcentral.